GAUGAACGCUGGCGGCGUGCCUAAUACAUGCCAGUCGAGCGAACAGACGAGGAGCUUGCUCCUCUGACGUUAGCGGCGGACGGGUGAGUAACACGUGGAUAACCUACCUAUAAGACUGGGAUAACUUCGGGAAACCGGAGCUAAUACCGGAUAAUAUAUUGAACCGCAUGGUUCAAUAGUGAAAGACGGUUUUGCUGUCACUUAUAGAUGGAUCCGCGCCGCAUUAGCUAGUUGGUAAGGUAACGGCUUACCAAGGCAACGAUGCGUAGCCGACCUGAGAGGGUGAUCGGCCACACUGGAACUGAGACACGGUCCAGACUCCUACGGGAGGCAGCAGUAGGGAAUAUUGGGCAAUGGGCGAAAGCCUGACGGAGCAAUGCCGCGUGAGUGAUGAAGGUCUUCGGAUCGUAAAACUCUGUUAUUAGGGAAGAACAAAAGUGAAAGUAAAUAUUCAUGUCUUGACGGUACCUAAUGAGAAAGCCACGGCUAACUACGUG
RNAcentral lists this ribosomal RNA (497 nucleotides) under uncultured bacterium. Its description in RNAcentral is "partial 16S ribosomal RNA". It matches the Rfam family "Bacterial small subunit ribosomal RNA", at positions 28 to 507 of the family's 1533-position model. The record is from RNAcentral.